This is a long non-coding RNA of Xyrauchen texanus (razorback sucker), 1398 nucleotides long. RefSeq lists it as uncharacterized. NCBI's taxonomy places the organism in Eukaryota, Metazoa, Chordata, Actinopteri, Cypriniformes, Catostomidae. The record is from RefSeq and is a predicted model, not a curated record. The transcript has 3 exons.
UCUUUUACUGCUCUGUGUGCAGGAAAAUAAAUUCAGCUAUCAUCCACGUUCUGUGUGUGUACUGAUGAAGGGUGAGACAAACCGGGUAGAAAGAAAGAAAACAAAGAAGAAAGAAAGAGGAUGGCAUGAGGGUGAGUUUCACACCUGGGGUAAAAGGCUCCCACAAAUAGGACAAAAGGCUCCCAGGUGGUUAAAGUGAUAUCAGUGUUCGAAUCUCUCCAUAUAGUAGUACAUCCUUACUGCACAUGCAGUAUGUGAGACUGAAAGAAUGGGAGAGAGUGCCAUCUGCUGUCAUUGGAGAAUAUACAGAAUGUGGACACCCGUCCCAACACCACACCCAUAAGUGCUUGUUGAACAUUUAAAAACAAAAACUAUUAAUAUAGAGUUGGUUCUCCUAAGGGCAUAUAUUUUGCUUUAACAAAGUUUCCAUUGGUCAUGGUAUAAAUAUUGUAGGGGUUGUUCAAUAUUGUAUGGGGGGUACUUCCCCCCCAUCCCCCCUGGAAUCUAAGCCCAUGGGUCCUCCCUUUACAUAUGUGUAGCUGAAAUAGCCAAAUGGAAGUUAGUUUUGAUAAUUUUAUUUAUUUAUUUUUAAAGGUGGCAAAGGAGCCUAUUACCCUACCCUUGAUGUAAAAUGCCCUCGGGGGAUAUUGUCAUGUUCUCUGUUGUCUUUUGUUUUUGUGCUUUUAUGUUGAAGUUUAGUUUAGUUCCUGUUUCCUGUUUGGUUUUUGUAGUCCUUUUAUAGUUUCAUUUUAUGAUUGGUUUUCCCCUGAUUAGUUCUCAUUCCCUGAUUGUUUCCCCAGGUGUUCCUCAUUCCCUUGUUUGUUCCUUUAUGUAUUUAAGUCCUUGGUUUCCCUGUUUCCAGUGUUGGUUCUUGCAUGUGUUAUUAUGCUCUGUGCCAGGUUUCCUUUGUUUUUCUUUAUCCUGAGUUUUCAUUAAUAAAAGCUGCACUUAGAUCUGCAUUCUCUGCCUGCCUUCGUCACAGAUAGAGUGAUACUGUGUCAGUUUAGGGGCAAUAGUUACAGGGAAAACACUUUCAAUUAAGGAAAAUACUUUUGAAAGAGCAAGAUGCUUUUUUGAGUAACAAAUUAAGAUUAUCCAAAACAACAAUUUCAGAAAAGUGUUAACCAUUUCCUGUUCAUUUUAAUCACAUUUGCAUUCAUACCAUCUCAAAUAUUCUAUAAACAAAUGAAUCUCCAUUGUGAUUGGAUCAGUCAGUGUGAGCACACUUCAAACAUUUUUUAUAACAAAUCUAUUCCCACCAAUUAGGAAAAACAAAGUGUUUUAUAGGGGCCGUUAACCUCGGCAACAGAGGGGCUUUGUUUUUGGUACACAAAAUUCCAUUAUUUUACUUAUUGGACAAUUAUUAAAAAAGCAUUUGUUUUAAUCAUCUGGAACAAG